AGCUCUGGCUCGUGCUCUCCAGGCUUUGGUUUACUUAACUGCAGAUAACAUCAUAAACAGCAAAAAUGUGGCUUUUGCGCGGACAGAAAUUAAAUAUCCAAGUAGUAAAUGGUCCGAGGUCAAACAGCAUUGGAGGAGUUUACGUGAGGAACCAAAGAAAAGACAAAAUGGAAGAAGCAUUGUGGUGCUACAGAGAUGCCCUGGCCUACAACUCAUACUCCAGAUGAGGAAAACAACCAUCUUUAUUUGUGUCAGAAUCAUGAUGCCUUCCCCGCUACGUCUGUGUGGUUCCACAGAUUCUCUCACAUGAUGUUUAUGAUCUGGGUUUCCUGGUGAGAAACAUCAUGUGUUGCUGUUUGGG
This is a long non-coding RNA of Epinephelus moara (kelp grouper), 361 nucleotides long. RefSeq lists it as uncharacterized. The transcript has 3 exons. The record is from RefSeq and is a predicted model, not a curated record. NCBI's taxonomy places the organism in Eukaryota, Metazoa, Chordata, Actinopteri, Perciformes, Serranidae.